AAUGAACGCUGGCGGCGCGCCUAAUACAUGCAAGUCGAGCGAGAAGACGUAGCAAUACGUUUGUAAAGCGGCGAACGGGUGAGGAAUACAUGGGUAACCUACCCUCGAGUGGGGAAUAACUAGCCGAAAGGUUAGCUAAUACCGCGUACGCUCCUUGGACUUCGGUUCAGGGAGGAAAGCGAUACCGUGGGUAUCGCGCUCUUGGAUGGGCUCAUGUCCUAUCAGCUUGUUGGUGAGGUAACGGCUCACCAAGGCUUCGACGGGUAGCUGGUCUGAGAGGACGAUCAGCCACACUGGCACUGCGACACGGGCCAGACUCCUACGGGAGGCAGCAGUAAGGAAUAUUGCGCAAUGGGCGAAAGCCUGACGCAGCGACGCCGCGUGGGGGAUGAAGGUCUUCGGAUUGUAAACCCC
RNAcentral lists this ribosomal RNA (414 nucleotides) under uncultured bacterium. RNAcentral's name for it is "bacterial SSU rRNA". It matches the Rfam family "Bacterial small subunit ribosomal RNA", at positions 29 to 433 of the family's 1533-position model. The record is from RNAcentral.